RNAcentral lists this ribosomal RNA (762 nucleotides) under Triticum aestivum (bread wheat). Its description in RNAcentral is "partial small subunit ribosomal RNA". Lineage: Eukaryota; Viridiplantae; Streptophyta; Magnoliopsida; Poales; Poaceae. The record is from RNAcentral.
AUGACCGGCGGCGGCAACAAGGAAAAGAAAGAGGAGCCGCCCAAGGCCACAGCCAUAGGUCGGGGCGGCUCCAGCUUGUACGACAAGACGCUGUCGACGGCGUCGAACCUGGCGAGGCUGCUGCCGACGGGCACCACGACAGCGUUCCAGACGCUGGCGCCGUCCUUCACCAACCACGGCGAGUGCCUGCCCGUCAACCGCUACUUCACCUGGGCGCUCAUCUUCUUCCUCGGCGUGCUCUGCGCGCUCAUCUCCUUCACGGACAGCGUCACCGACCGGCACGGUAACACCCGCUACGGCUUCGUCCACCCCUGUGGCUUCACGCCCUUCAACUCCGGCCCUGGCGGCGACGGGACAGUCCCCAUCGACGACAGGGAGAGCAAGAGGCGGCGCAUGCGGGGGCGGGACUGGCUGCACUCCGUGUUCCGCUUCGUCGUCUUCGUCUCGCUCGCCUUCUGCGACUCCGGCGUGCAGAAGUGCCUCGUCCCGCGCGAGAGCCAACAGUGGCGCGAGUUCCUCGUCAACAUGCCGCUCGCAUCGGGCUUCCUCGCCAGCUUCGUCUUCAUGAUCUUCCCCUCCAGCAGGCACGGCAUCGGCGCCGGCCCCGGGGCCCCCGCCGCGCUCGACGACCUCACCGACACCAAUGCCGACGCCGCCGUCAAGAGUGAUCCGUCAAAGAACAGCAAGACUGCUCCCGCGGCCGCAGACACCCGAGUUGCCCCCUCCACCAGCUAUGACUGUGAGCUCCACCAUGCCGUCUAG